UGUGUGUGUGUGUGUGUGUGUGUCCCACCAGACUGUGAGCUCCACGCGGGCAGGGACCAUGUCUUGUCCAUUCUCUGUAUCCCCAGAGUGUGAAACAGAGCAAAUGCUCACUGUGUGCUUAAUAAAUGGACAAAGAGAGGCUGAACCUCAGGGGCAGACAGAGACAUAAACUGAUGGUUUAUGACACAGUGUCUCAAGCCCUGUGCAAGGGAUGUUCAAUCAAGGUUUAAUUAAAAAUGGCUGAUGCUGCAGAAGAGGCCGUGUCUCCUAGGGAUGACAUGAGAAUAGCCCCCUUUCUGCCCACCAAUGAGGACCUCCUCCCCACAUACACGCAGACCGGUUGGCCCAGCCUUACCCGCCCUCUCUCCCCAGGGAAGGACCCCACGCCCUCCAUGCUGGGCCUCUGCGGCUCCCUGGCCUCCAUCCCCAGCUGCAAGUCCCUGGCGAGCUUCAAAUCCAACGAAUGCCUGGUGAGCGACAGCCCUGAGGGCAGCCCAGCACUCAGCCCCAGCUGAGGAGCAGCAAGGGCAAUGCCAGCCCCACCUGCCAGGGGCCAUGGACAACUGCCACCUUUUGAGUCCCCCACCCCAGGCCACCCUUCAAGAACAAUACCCAGCUAGCCUCAGGUCCCAGCUAGCCUCGGGUCUCUAGGGAAAGACAACCUGAGCCUCUUUCCUGCUUCAGCUUCCUGCCAAAGAGGCAGGAGCUACAUGGGGAAGUGGUGGGGCAAGGAGGGACGCCCAGGUUACAGGUCGUCAGUCCCCUGGGGAAGCCACUCCAUUCCGUGGUCCUGAAGGCUGCCUGGUUCCUUCUGUUCAUCUUCCACACUUGCCUCAGAAGCAGGUGGUCCAGCCCUGGCAUUCCUGCUGCCCUGCCUCUGGUCUAACCCUGUGUACCCUCUGAAGUCACCCUUCCUCGGUACCUAUGUGGGGAGAGAUUAGGCAAAUAAAAACCAGAGGACUG
Molecule: long non-coding RNA, 963 nt
Filed under: Rattus norvegicus (Norway rat)
Lineage: Eukaryota; Metazoa; Chordata; Mammalia; Rodentia; Muridae
Description: long non-coding RNA NONRATT004936
Source: RNAcentral